Molecule: non-coding RNA, 72 nt
Organism: Bubalus bubalis (water buffalo)
Lineage: Eukaryota; Metazoa; Chordata; Mammalia; Artiodactyla; Bovidae
Source: the annotation of a RefSeq genome assembly
UCCCUGGCAGUCCAGUGGUUAGGACUCAGCACAUCCACUGCUGUGGCCCAGGUUCAAUCCCUGGUUGGGGAA